UUAGCAGCAUUUUGCUGGGGGUUGUUUGGGAUUAUUCUUUGUUCUUUGGGGUUAUUAUUUUACUUUAUACUAUUUACGUACCUCAUAGGUAUAUUGGUGAAUUAAAAGGCAAUAAUUAUGAAAAGAAGGAAAGUUCAAGCGCAACGAAAGUUUGCCCAAGGUGUAUAUAUCCCACCAAGUACACAAACCACAAAUAUUGACAAAGUUACAAAUCAUACAAUACAAAAGGACAAUGAGAUUAGAAGCAAUAUCUUUCACAGUAGCACUUCAGCUAAAAGUCUUCUUGACCUCAUAAGCUUUCAAAAUCUACAUAAACAUAGGGAACCUAUCGUCUUGUUAGAGCGAUUGCGACAUUACCCAGAACAACUCCAAGCAUCAUCAUCGGCAGCAUCUCAACAAUAUACUAUAAGUCAAAUGAAAAAAGUAACUACAGCACUUAAACAUAAUAUGUGCCUUCGAUCUAA
This is a long non-coding RNA of Papilio machaon (common yellow swallowtail), 464 nucleotides long. RefSeq lists it as uncharacterized. Lineage: Eukaryota; Metazoa; Arthropoda; Insecta; Lepidoptera; Papilionidae. The transcript has 3 exons. The record is from RefSeq and is a predicted model, not a curated record.